Molecule: non-coding RNA, 519 nt
Organism: Mugil cephalus (flathead mullet)
Lineage: Eukaryota; Metazoa; Chordata; Actinopteri; Mugiliformes; Mugilidae
Source: the annotation of a RefSeq genome assembly
AGAAAUGAUUUCCAUAGAGAGGAGGCUUUGCAUGGUCAGCUGAUCCUCCAGUCAACUGAGAAGGUUUAUAGUCGUGUGAGUUCAACACUGCAGGACUCAGAUCUGUCAGUCAACACAGCAGAAACCACAACCACCAUGACUCUCAUCACCAUCCUCAUCUGGACGCUGGCCUGCUGCUGCUUCACAGGAUGCAGUGGUCAGGUGACUGUGACUCAGCCUCCAGUAGAGACAUCUACUCCAGGAUCCACUGUCACUAUGACCUGUAAGACCAGCCAGGAUGUUGUCACAUAUAGUGGUAAUCAGCUUAUGUCCUGGUAUCAACAGAAAUCUGGACAAACUCCAAAGCUCCUGAUAUAUUAUGGAAGCACACGUCAAUCAGGAACACCAGAUCGGUUUAGUGGCAGUGGAAGCAACUCUGACUUCUCUUUGACCAUCAGUGGAGUUCAGGCUGAAGAUGCAGCAGUUUACUACUGUCAGAGUUACCAUUAUAUUAACAGUGCUGUUGUGUUCACACAGUGA